GGAGAAUCGCUUGAACCUGGGAGGCGGAGUUUGCAGUGAGAUGAGAUGGAGCCAUUGCUCUCCAGCCUGGGCUACAGAGCAAGACUCUGUCUCAAAACAAAACAAAACAAAACAAAACAAAAAGAUGAGCAACUUGAAUUAUGGAGGACACUAGAAAUAGUGUUUCCUACAGAAUCAGGGCUUCCUACCAACAUAGUCACUUCUAGGGUUUUCGACCUGAAAAGUUCUGUGGCAUAUUGUUUCUUUGCUAUCCACUUUUUUUUCCCUAUUUUUCCCCCUCUUUCUCUCCUCUACUUUAUCUCCUAGAGAUCUAGGUAGUUCCCAAAGGAAUAAUGCUUUACGGAGUCUAAUGUUGAUUUAUUAGGUAAAAACAGAAAAUGACUUUUUUUUUUACCCACAAGUUCCAUACCAAAAAAUGAAUGUAAACUUCUUAUGCAGUUUCACACAUUGAAAAUGCAGGUUAUUUUAAUUCCAUUGCAUUUUUCAGAAUUCUCAAUCGCAAUCCUCUGACAACUGUUGAAGAUCCGUAUCUCUUUAAAUUACUGGCAUUAAAAUAUCUAGACGUGGGAACAACGCAAGUCCCACUUACAACACUUAAGAACAUUCUCAUGAUGACCGUUGAACUGGAAAAACUGCUGUAGUUCCUUACUGAAUAUUGGUUGAAGACUUCAUUGGCUUACUACCUGGACUUCUCCAUAGACUGCUUGAAUGUCCUCCCCACAUAGCUAGAGUGAAUGACUAAAAAAGAGAGAGAACACACACAGCCCAGCCCCAGCAGACCACAGGAGGUUGGCCCCAGACUCACUGAGUGCCUGCAGCAGCCCUACAGACACAGCAUCCUUGGCCACCUCAUGCCCAU
RNAcentral lists this long non-coding RNA (859 nucleotides) under Homo sapiens (human). RNAcentral describes it as "HSALNT0241577". The record is from RNAcentral. Lineage: Eukaryota; Metazoa; Chordata; Mammalia; Primates; Hominidae.